This 488-nucleotide ribosomal RNA is filed under the name uncultured bacterium. RNAcentral describes it as "partial 16S ribosomal RNA". It matches the Rfam family "Bacterial small subunit ribosomal RNA", at positions 28 to 507 of the family's 1533-position model. The record is from RNAcentral.
GAUGAACGCUGGCGGCGUGCUUAACACAUGCAAGUCGAACGGAAAGGCCCUGCUUUUGUGGGGUGCUCGAGUGGCGAACGGGUGAGUAACACGUGAGUAACCUGCCCUUGACUUUGGGAUAACUUCAGGAAACUGGGGCUAAUACCGGAUAGGAGCUCCUGCUGCAUGGUGGGGGUUGGAAAGUUUCGGCGGUUGGGGAUGGGCUCGCGGCUUAUCAGCUUGUUGGUGGGGUAGUGGCUUACCAAGGCUUUGACGGGUAGCCGGCCUGAGAGGGUGACCGGCCACAUUGGGACUGAGAUACGGCCCAGACUCCUACGGGAGGCAGCAGUGGGGAAUAUUGCACAAUGGGCGGAAGCCUGAUGCAGCAACGCCGCGUGAGUGAUGAAGGUCUUCGGAUCGUAAAACUCUGUUAUUAGGGAAGAACAUAUGUGUAAGUAACUGUGCACAUCUUGACGGUACCUAAUCAGAAAGCCACGGCUAACUACGUG